AAUCAACGCUGGCGGCGUGCCUAACACAUGCAAGUCGAGCGAGAAAGUGGGGGCAACUCCAUGAGUACAGCGGCGACCGGGUGAGUAACACGUGACUAACCUACCCUUGAGUGGGGAAUAACUCCGGGAAACCGGAGCUAAUACCGCAUAACACCGUAAGGUCAAAGGAGCAAUUCGCUUAAGGAGGGGUCGCGGUUGAUUAGCUAGUUGGUGGGGUAAUGGCCCACCAAGGCGAUGAUCAAUAGCCGGCCUGAGAGGGCGCACGGCCACACUGGAACUGAAACACGGUCCAGACUCCUACGGGAGGCAGCAGUGGGAAUUUUGCGCAAUGGGGGAAACCCUGACGCAGCAACGCCGCGUGAAGGAUGAAGGUCUUUGGAUUGUAAACUUCUUUCGUUCGGGACGAUAAUGACGGUACGGAAGAAGAAGCCCCGGCUAACUUCGUGCCAGCCGCCGCAGU
Molecule: ribosomal RNA, 460 nt
Filed under: uncultured bacterium
Lineage: Bacteria
Description: bacterial SSU rRNA
Rfam family: Bacterial small subunit ribosomal RNA
Source: RNAcentral